RNAcentral lists this ribosomal RNA (466 nucleotides) under uncultured bacterium. RNAcentral describes it as "bacterial SSU rRNA". It matches the Rfam family "Bacterial small subunit ribosomal RNA", at positions 614 to 1079 of the family's 1533-position model. The record is from RNAcentral.
CCUGGGUCCCCACUCGAUACUGCUUUGGCUAGAGUCCGGUAGGGGAGCGUGGAAUUCCUGGUGUAGCGGUGAAAUGCGCAGAUAUCAGGAGGAACACCAGCGGCGAAGGCGGCGCUCUGGGCCGGUACUGACACUGAGGAGCGAAAGCGUGGGUAGCAAACAGGAUUAGAUACCCUGGUAGUCCACGCCGUAAACGUUGGGCACUAGGUGUGGGGUCUAUUCAACGGACUCCGUGCCGUCGCUAACGCAUUAAGUGCCCCGCCUGGGGAGUACGGCCGCAAGGCUAAAACUCAAAGGAAUUGACGGGGGCCCGCACAAGCAGCGGAGCAUGUUGCUUAAUUCGAGGCAACGCGAAGAACCUUACCUGGGUUUGACAUGUAGAGAAAAGCCACAGAGAUGUGGUGUCCUCGGGUUCGUACACAGUGGUGCGAUGGUUGUCGUCAGCUCGUGUCGUGAGAGUGUUGGG